GUGUGUCCCCCCCCACCUCCCCCAUGACAAGCUGCUGCCAUGACAACGGUCGGUCGGGUAAAGCCGUGCGGCAUGAGCCUACAUGUCGGCUGCUAAUGAAAUCAUCCCUCUUUUCUUCUCUCUGCGGAACAGGAAAAAACGGAGCGAGGCCCCCGUGUCGUGUCCCCUCCCUCCGUACCUCUUCCUCAUCAUAUUUGUUGCCAGGCUGAGCAGGCGUGUGCGUGUGUGUGUGUGUGUGUGUGUGUGGAAUAUGCAACGUGAGCGUCUGCAUAUUCCAGUCAGGUGUCUGGUGACCCUCAAUCAAUACGCAAUCAAUGCACCAGAUGUAAUUGUUCAGGCGCUGAUUGCCUCUCGGAGCUGCUUCACCUGAAAUCUGCUCUCCACCGUGCCGGUUGGCAAUUUCAAUGUGGGGGAGGGGGGGGGGUAAAGGGUUGUGGCGUUGUUGUUUUCGGUGCGUUGCUGCUCCGGGGAUCAGGCGGCGUGCGUUUUGAAUGUUGCCGUGGAUGGAUGCGCCUGCACAUGCCGACUUCCCGUCCUGAUCGUGUGAAGCACCGAGCGUGAUUGGCAUGCGGGGAGAGAAGACGAGCCCAAAGAAAACUGAAGAACAAAGUGUUUGUCAAAUUAGUCGAUCACCCCCCCCCCUCCCUCCUCAAAGACUGAACGUAUUUGAUAUGAUAAUUAUGUUUAUUUAUCUUGCAGCUACUUGCUACGCUAAUUAGACUUUAACAAGCGUAUUAGGCCGAGGUCUGUAUGGGAGGGAGGCUUCCUUGUCAUGUUGUAGAAGUUGUAUUUUUCUCGUCGAGACGCAAUCAGCGAAGAGGAAUUGUGCACAGAAACAAUCAAUCCUCUAUGUUUGAAUCAGCGGGGCCGAGGGUCCUAAAAAAAAAAGAUCACUUUUCUCGCGCGGUAAUGAGGUGCUCCCUCAUUUAAUCACCGCGUCUUUAUAAAAUAUAUAUAUAUAUAUAUAAUUUUUCCUCCUACCGUUGGAGUUCACCCUGCUCUAAAUAUCUGAUGCAGACCGGCUGAAUGAGAAGGUACAUAGCUGGCAUUUAAAAGGAGUCACCACCCCCUCAUCUGCCCGCCGCUCAUUGUCAGCAUCCUGCGUGGCCCAUAAUGAGAGCGGGCACGCCCAGGCCGUCACACAUAGCCUGUGUCCUGGUUAAAUGCACAACACCUCUCAUCGGGGCGCUAUGAUUCACUCUGAUUCAUGCCAGUGUGUCUUCUCUGUGUCCCCACUGAUCAGCCGGAUGACCGAGGGGAGGAGAUAAGGGCUGCAUGGAACACGUGUGUGUGUAUGUGUGUGUGUGUGUGUGUGUGUGGGUGUGUGUGUGGGUUUAGGGUGUUGGUUUGAUUAUAGUGUCUUUGAGCCAAGAAAUGUGUGCUCCUCUGUCUGGAACAGCCGCCCGAGCACAGCAGAUGUGUACACAAAGAUGUGUGACUUUAUAAUGAACACACACACACACACACACACAGGUAACUCAAGUCCCAUUCAAACACGUUUGUUUAGUCACGUUGAUAACAUUGAUGGUGUUAUUUAGGGACAGGCACUAACAAAAUCAGUAUAUAUAUUCAGAGGUUGGCCUUUUAUUUUAUAAAUCUCAUCACUUUAUUCUCAAUCUGGUCUUUUCACUUUAUUCUGUGAAAAAAGAAAUGUGAAGAGCCUUUGUAACUUUGUUUCCUGGUUCCAAAUUAAAUGGAAUAAAAGGGUGAAACAAAUCUGCAUCCACUAAAUGUGUGCCAUCUUCUGGUAUACAACACGCUACACAAUCACACGUACCGCAUGGUGAAGAAAGUGUUUGGGAUUGAAGCUCCAGCUCAGGAGAAAAUUGUUAAUUCUUCAAUAUUGUCAAAAAGAUUAUCUAAAUGAUUCAAGAAAAAAUACAUUAAAAAAAAAGGUCUAAACUAUAUUUACUUAUUGAGGUGUUUCUUCAUACAACCCCUUGGUUGAAGGGAAUGAUUGAGGAUUGAUUAUGUUCUAUAACGCGUCUAUAAUUAUUAGUCAGUUAUAAACAUUUCCCUCCAUGAACACGGCAUCGGGUCGAUGUAAUCAGCAGUUAAAGGAAUCCGUACGCUAAGCGCUCCGAAUGAUUUACGUCCGAUGAGAUUUCCCACAUCUGCUCAUUAAUUGUGAGAAUGAAAUUACUUUUUAACAGAACGUCUAAAUGUCUGAUUAGCAAAGGGACCGUUUUUUUAAGCAGCCAAAUGUGUGCCAGGAUGCGACGUGACGUCCCGCACGCCCGUGCUUCUUUAAACAUGCGGGCUGCACUCUUGCACGAGUCUCCCAAAUGAUUGAUGGCUUGAUUUACAUUUUACCCGAUUAAAGGUUACUUCAGCUUCAAAAACGCCGCCCGGAGGAGAGAAGAUCCGCCGCUCUUUGCAGAGAAGCAGCCCCCCCCCCCCCUUUUGAACGGAAUCGAUAGGGAUGCGUCGACCUCAUUUUAGUGAUGCGCGCGCAGCACAAAAGGCCGAACCCGAGGCGAGGACGAGUGUUUACCGCGGGAAAUGGAAUUGUUAAAACGAGAAAACGAUCCCGGCAUG
Molecule: long non-coding RNA, 2538 nt
Organism: Gasterosteus aculeatus aculeatus (three-spined stickleback)
Lineage: Eukaryota; Metazoa; Chordata; Actinopteri; Perciformes; Gasterosteidae
Source: Ensembl